UUUGCCUUAGCUUAUGGCAUGUCCAGUGGGCAUUCUUUAUUUCCUUUCCUUCUCCUGUAAUGGAACGAAAAAAGCCAACCUAUUAUGUCAUUGUAACUUGCUAGUAGAUUGAGUUUAAUCGUAUACCAUUUGCUGCAUUACCACAAUAAUUCCCAGGCUUGAAAAUCUUGUGGACCCAAAUAUCUAUAAUAAUAUUUAUACCUAACUGUGCUUCAAUGGAUUGAUCAUAUGAAUUAUGUAACAAUGUUUUUGCAUUCCCACUGAUGGUUGAGAGGCCCUGUUGCAAAUGAACAAGGUGGAUGCUAGGGUAGUGGAAUAUCUAUAUGGCGUUAGAGAACAAGAAAGAAAAUAGGCCACUUGGAAAAGUGUAUGCUAUGUUCAUCUCACUUUCCCCCAAAUUUACAAAGUCGUAUCUAGUAAUAGAAAAUCAAUGAUCUAGAUCUUCAAUAAAUU
Molecule: long non-coding RNA, 453 nt
Filed under: Glycine max (soybean)
Lineage: Eukaryota; Viridiplantae; Streptophyta; Magnoliopsida; Fabales; Fabaceae
Description: long non-coding RNA (GMAX_LNC002875)
Source: RNAcentral